RNAcentral lists this long non-coding RNA (616 nucleotides) under Homo sapiens (human). RNAcentral describes it as "long non-coding RNA NONHSAT212375.1". Lineage: Eukaryota; Metazoa; Chordata; Mammalia; Primates; Hominidae. The record is from RNAcentral.
UAAAAUUAAAUAGGUAUCUUUACUACAGGACUUUUCUGAGCAUUUAAUAUGCUAAUGUGCAUGAUUAUGGCUUGGAGCCUCAAAUCACUUUGUGAUUCAAGAUGGCAACUGGAAGAAAGAGGAGAUAACAAAAAGGGCCACCAGACCCCAGGUAGAACUCUGCUCACAUUCCUCCUUCCAAGCUACACCUAAGCCUAGGCCUAGGCCUCUGAUGGAGUUUCACCAAGCAACGAGCAUGGAAAGGAGUGCAACUAGUUUGCAAACCUUUAUGAUGUGGAUGAGGCAUGAUUCGGACAACAAACACAGGAAGACAACCUCUCAUGGGAAAGGCCAUCCUUAGCCUGAUGUCCAAGACAAUAGAGAAAAUCAAGAGACCCAGUCUGGUAUAUGCAGAGAGACAUGAGACCCUGACUGCCUUACCAACAGUUGACAAGGGACCCAAAGUGACACCAAGUCUGAGCACACCAUUGGAGAACCUAGGAAGCUCUACCCUAAAGAACUUUCAGACAUGUGCACAAGAAGACCUGUCCCUCCAAUCCCAAAGGGGUCAGAAACUGCAAUUAGCAAGCUGGAGGAGGAGGAGGAGGAGGAAGAGGCACAGAAGCAGGAGGUGGGG